GAUCAUUCAUACAUCCACAAGUAUGAGGAUAUAAAACUGAUGAUGUGAACAAUAAAUGGAAGGAGCAAAAUUCUAAAUCAAUGGGCAUUAGUAAAUUUUUGUAAAGUAGAAAAUCUCUUUUUUAGAGAUUUCAAAAAAGCUUCACACUACAGCAUCUCUUUUUUCCUCUAGCUUUUCACUAUGGUAUAUUCUUUUCUACAUCAGCUGCUUUCUAUAUAUGGAUAGGAUUUCCAGGGUUGCGACAUAGUAAAAUGAAGAUAGCAUCCUUCUAAUUCUAUAUCGCUUUUAAGCAUGAAGUAUCAAUUUAGUAACUUGGUGUCAGGUUUAGGUUCACCAUGGUGGCUUACUUUCUAGCAUGAGGUGUAACAAACAUAAAAUGGCAGCUUGAAGGAAAUUAGCACAAGGUGACUGUUCCUAAGAAAGAUGAGGUGACAGUUCAAGCAUAAGGUGGCAAUCUAAUAAUAAACAUGAGAUGGCAGCUCGCUGAACAAAUCAUGAUGCAGAAGCCAAUAGACAAGUAUGAGAUGGUCACUUGGUGGCAUUAAACACGAGGUAUUAAUUACUAGC
This 567-nucleotide long non-coding RNA is filed under the name Phoenix dactylifera (date palm). RNAcentral's name for it is "long non-coding RNA (PDAC_LNC020953)". The record is from RNAcentral. Lineage: Eukaryota; Viridiplantae; Streptophyta; Magnoliopsida; Arecales; Arecaceae.